RNAcentral lists this ribosomal RNA (292 nucleotides) under uncultured bacterium. Its description in RNAcentral is "partial 16S ribosomal RNA". It matches the Rfam family "Bacterial small subunit ribosomal RNA", at positions 505 to 796 of the family's 1533-position model. The record is from RNAcentral.
GUGUCAGCAGCCGCGGUAAUACGUAGGGACCAAGCGUUGUUCGGAUUUACUGGGCGUAAAGGGCGCGUAGGCGGUGCUGUAAGUCACUUGUGAAAUCUCUGAGCUUAACUCAGAACGGCCAAGUGAUACUGCAGCACUAGAGUGCGGAAGGGGCAAUCGGAAUUCUUGGUGUAGCGGUGAAAUGCGUAGAUAUCAAGAGGAACACCUGAGGUGAAGACGGGUUGCUGGGCCGACACUGACGCUGAGGCGCGAAAGCCAGGGGAGCAAACGGGAUUAGAAACCCGCGUAGUCC